CCUACGGGAGGCAGCAGUAGGGAAUCUUUCACAAUGGGCGAAAGCCUGAUGGAGCAACGCCGCGUGCAGGAUGAAGGCCUUCGGGUUGUAAACUGCUUUUAUAAGCGAGAAAUAUGAUGGUAACUUAUGAAUAAGGAUCGGCUAACUACGUGCCAGCAGCCGCGGUCAUACGUAGGAUCCGAGCAUUAUCCGGAGUGACUGGGUGUAAAGAGUUGCGUAGGUGGCAUAGUAAGUAGCUAGUGAAAUCUGGUGGCUCAACCAUUCAGACUAUUAGCUAAACUGCUAAGCUCGAGACCGUUAGGGGUAACUGGAAUUGCUAGUGUAGGAGUGAAAUGCGUAGAUAUUAUAAGGAACACCGAUAGCGUAGGCAGGUUACUGGGACGGUUCUGACACUAAGGCACGAAAGCGUAGGGAGCAAACGGGAUUAGAUACCCGGGUAGUC
This 442-nucleotide ribosomal RNA is filed under the name uncultured bacterium. RNAcentral's name for it is "partial 16S ribosomal RNA". It matches the Rfam family "Bacterial small subunit ribosomal RNA", at positions 338 to 795 of the family's 1533-position model. The record is from RNAcentral.